GGUCAUGUGGCCUAGUGGUCAUGGCAUCUGCCCGGUAAGCGGAAGGUCGUGGGUUCGAUUCCCAUCCCUUGACACA
Non-coding RNA from Cordylochernes scorpioides, 76 nucleotides. NCBI's taxonomy places the organism in Eukaryota, Metazoa, Arthropoda, Arachnida, Pseudoscorpiones, Chernetidae. The record is from the annotation of a GenBank genome assembly.